UAUUUAUUAGUUUACCUUAAAACAUUACAUUUUCAUUGUAAAAAUAAAAAAAAUUUUUUUAUAAAUA
Molecule: transfer RNA, 67 nt
Filed under: Promalactis odaiensis
Lineage: Eukaryota; Metazoa; Arthropoda; Insecta; Lepidoptera; Oecophoridae
Description: tRNA-Glu
Source: RNAcentral